This 250-nucleotide ribosomal RNA is filed under the name Escherichia coli 2-460-02_S1_C2. RNAcentral describes it as "partial 16S ribosomal RNA". It matches the Rfam family "Bacterial small subunit ribosomal RNA", at positions 8 to 254 of the family's 1533-position model. Lineage: Bacteria; Pseudomonadati; Pseudomonadota; Gammaproteobacteria; Enterobacterales; Enterobacteriaceae. The record is from RNAcentral.
AGAGUUUGAUCAUGGCUCAGAUUGAACGCUGGCGGCAGGCCUAACACAUGCAAGUCGAACGGUAACAGGAAGCAGCUUGCUGCUUUGCUGACGAGUGGCGGACGGGUGAGUAAUGUCUGGGAAACUGCCUGAUGGAGGGGGAUAACUACUGGAAACGGUAGCUAAUACCGCAUAACGUCGCAAGACCAAAGAGGGGGACCUUCGGGCCUCUUGCCAUCGGAUGUGCCCAGAUGGGAUUAGCUAGUAGGUG